This 955-nucleotide ribosomal RNA is filed under the name Salmonella enterica. Its description in RNAcentral is "partial 23S ribosomal RNA". It matches the Rfam family "Bacterial large subunit ribosomal RNA", at positions 525 to 1481 of the family's 2925-position model. The record is from RNAcentral. Lineage: Bacteria; Pseudomonadati; Pseudomonadota; Gammaproteobacteria; Enterobacterales; Enterobacteriaceae.
CCCGGCGAGGGGAGUGAAACAGAACCUGAAACCGUGUACGUACAAGCAGUGGGAGCCUCUCUUUAUGGGGGGUGACUGCGUACCUUUUGUAUAAUGGGUCAGCGACUUAUAUUCUGUAGCAAGGUUAACCGCAUAGGGGAGCCGAAGGGAAACCGAGUCUUAACCGGGCGUUAAGUUGCAGGGUAUAGACCCGAAACCCGGUGAUCUAGCCAUGGGCAGGUUGAAGGUUGGGUAACACUAACUGGAGGACCGAACCGACUAAUGUUGAAAAAUUAGCGGAUGACCUGUGGCUGGGGGUGAAAGGCCAAUCAAACCGGGAGAUAGCUGGUUCUCCCCGAAAGCUAUUUAGGUAGCGCCUCGUGAACUCAUCUCCGGGGGUAGAGCACUGUUUCGGCUAGGGGGCCAUCCCGGCUUACCAACCCGAUGCAAACUGCGAAUACCGGAGAAUGUUAUCACGGGAGACACACGGCGGGUGCUAACGUCCGUCGUGAAGAGGGAAACAACCCAGACCGCCAGCUAAGGUCCCAAAGUCAUGGUUAAGUGGGAAACGAUGUGGGAAGGCCCAGACAGCCAGGAUGUUGGCUUAGAAGCAGCCAUCAUUUAAAGAAAGCGUAAUAGCUCACUGGUCGAGUCGGCCUGCGCGGAAGAUGUAACGGGGCUAAACCAUGCACCGAAGCUGCGGCAGCGACACUUUAGUGUUGUUGGGUAGGGGAGCGUUCUGUAAGCCGUUGAAGGUGUCCUGUGAGGGGUGCUGGAGGUAUCAGAAGUGCGAAUGCUGACAUAAGUAACGAUAAAGCGGGUGAAAAGCCCGCUCGCCGGAAGACCAAGGGUUCCUGUCCAACGUUAAUCGGGGCAGGGUGAGUCGACCCCUAAGGCGAGGCCGAAAGGCGUAGUCGAUGGGAAACGGGUUAAUAUUCCCGUACUUGGUGUUACUGCGAAGGGGGGACGGAGAAGG